Molecule: small RNA, 506 nt
Filed under: Pongo abelii (Sumatran orangutan)
Lineage: Eukaryota; Metazoa; Chordata; Mammalia; Primates; Hominidae
Description: retained intron
Source: RNAcentral
GAGAUGCCGGUGUUGGCGGCCCGAGCGGCUGUAGCUGCAGCGGCGGGGGAGGCGGCGGCAGAGGCAGCGGCGGGGCCCGGGAGGGGGGUGGCGUGGGGGACCGGCGCGUAGCCGGGACCAUGGAGGGGCAGAGCGGCCGCUGCAAGAUCGUGGUGGUGGGAGACGCAGAGUGCGGCAAGACGGCGCUGCUGCAGGUGUUCGCCAAGGACGCCUAUCCCGGGAGUUAUGUCCCCACCGUGUUUGAGAACUACACCGCGAGCUUUGAGAUCGACAAGCGCCGCAUUGAGCUCAACAUGUGGGACACUUCAGGUAGCCAAGUCCCUGGGGGUCACCCUGACUUCCAAGGCGGCCCUCUGUCCCCUCCCUUGGCUAGACCCUUAGGUUCCAGGUCAGCCCAGCCCAUCCAUCCAACAGGAAGGAAAAAUCAAUUUUCUGCUAAAAGCCAGGGAAACUGAGGCAGAACUUGCAGAGCCUGACAGAAACCAUGUCCUGAAGGAGAAAGCCUA